Molecule: small RNA, 692 nt
Filed under: Pan troglodytes (chimpanzee)
Lineage: Eukaryota; Metazoa; Chordata; Mammalia; Primates; Hominidae
Description: processed transcript
Source: RNAcentral
GCCAAGAGCAGCUAAGGAAAAGGCCCAACCCCUGGAAGAUCUGGCCAGCUUCCAAGAGCUCUCUCAAACACCAGGCCACACUGAGGAACUGGCAAAUGGUGCUGCUGAUAGCUUUACAAGCGCUCCAAAGCAGACACCCGACAGUGGAAAACCUCUAAAAAUAUCCAGAAGAGUUCUUCGGGCCCCUAAAGUAGAACCUGUGGGAGACCUGGUAAGCACCAGAGACCCUGUAAAAUCACAAAGCAAAAGCAACACUUCCCUGCCCCCACUGCCCUUCAAGAGGGGAGGUGGCAAAGAUGGAAGCGUCACGGGAACCAAGAGGCUGCGCUGCAUGCCAGCGCCAGAGGAAAUUGUGGAGGAGCUGCCAGCCAGCAAGAAGCAGAGGGUUGCUCCCAGGGCAAGACGCAAAUCACCCGAACCCGUGGUCAUCAUGAAGAGAAGUUUGAGGACUUCUGCAAAAAGAAUUGAACCUGCGGAAGAGCUGAACAGCAACGACAUGAAAACCAACAAAGAGGAACACAAAUUACAAGACUCGGUCCCUGAAAAUAAGAAAGACUAGAAAUAAACAGAAAUGAAAAGAAGCCCAUGAAGACCUCCCCAGAGAUGGACAUUCAGAAUCCAGAUGAUGGAGCCCGGAAACCCAUACCUAGAGACAAAGUCAGUGAGAACAAAAGGUGCUUGAGGUCUGUUAG